GGAAGCAAAAUGCAAAUCCCCUGAUUAUGGUCUGACUCCUGUUCCAGUGCAGACACGGAGGGUAAGUUGGCAAUCUCCUCAGAGAUGGAGCAACUACAGACAGCUCUUUUUUUUGAUAAUCUUCCUGACACUUGGAUGAGACUGGCUUAUCCAUCAACAUACAGUUGCUCAGUGGAGCCUCCUGAGUAAGGCAAAGAGCCACUGACUGAUGGAGUGUUAGAGGACUGGAGAGCUGACCAAAGGACAGGAAAGCUCUGCCAAGCACAAAGACAGGUAGCACUAGAAGGCAAAACAAGCCCACUCUUCCAAGAUCAGUACAGACUUCUGAGAGAUCAAAAGUGGAAGAAGAAAUCUUGUUCAUCAGAAGACACAUUGAGAAGAGCAUCAGAGGUGAGAAAGGGAUAGCUGUCAACAGGAUGUGGAUGAAAGCACCAGUAACUCAUUUGGAAAAGAACUAGCACCAGAAUAAAUGCACAACAGCUUACCAGGCUGAGAGAGGACAGGAUCUGCUGGUCUGAACGAUGGUUUGAUCAGUUACGAGGGGGGUGAAGUCUUCAGUUUGAAAAAUAUUAUUCUGCUUCCUGGGUCUGCAAAAGACAGGACCAGACUGCAAGGGAAAGCCUGGAGAGGAUUUCCAUGCUUUAAAAAGAGAAACAGGGGAACACUGAAUUUCCUGAGGUCACUGAGGAAACGCAUGGCAGUGCUAGGAAAAGAAGCACUCGAGCAGCCGAGAUACCAUCUUCACAGCCAAAACCAGAUGGGUUUUCUCUGCAGUGUGACAUAACAGCAAAGACAGAGCAGUUUAACCAUUCCGGUGCAGUGAACAACUUCCGCGCUGCUGUGAGCUUGACUCCUAGCCUCAAGAUCUCACCCUCCCUAGUGUUGUCUGGAUAUCAAUUUUUUUCAACCCCCAGUCCUUCCUCACAGAUGUGGAGGAACCUCAGUCUCACCAACACUGGAUGAAAAAUACCUGUGUUUCCAGAUAGGCUGUCAAACAAAGCAUAACCUCCCUCAUCUCACUAGUGGUGGGAUUUGGUGGCACUUGCUGAAUGAUCUUCACACAAAGAGCAACUACAAGACAGCUUCUCUCCCCUGUUUGUAUUCUCCCAGAAACACACUAACCACAGCACUGCAGAGCUCAGUACAACUACUGAUCCACAAAUAUUAUUGAGCUCUUCCUCUGUUAUGUCCUCAACU
Long non-coding RNA from Neopelma chrysocephalum (saffron-crested tyrant-manakin), 1197 nucleotides. RefSeq lists it as uncharacterized. The transcript is spliced from 8 exons. The record is from RefSeq and is a predicted model, not a curated record. Lineage: Eukaryota; Metazoa; Chordata; Aves; Passeriformes; Pipridae.